AGACGUCUACAUUAGAUACCCCCUGUAGUCCCAGCCGUAAACUAUGCGCGUUAGGUGUAUCGGUGACCACGAGUCACCGAGGUGCCGAAGGGAAACCGUGAAACGUGCCGCCUGGGAAGUACGGUCGCAAGACUGAAACUUAAAGGAAUUGGCGGGGAGCACCACAACGGGUGGAGCCUGCGGUUUAAUUGGACUCAACGCCGGGAAGCUCACCGGAUAAGACAGCGGAAUGAUUGCCGGGCUGAAGACUCUGCAUGACUAGCUG
Molecule: ribosomal RNA, 265 nt
Filed under: uncultured archaeon
Lineage: Archaea
Description: partial 16S ribosomal RNA
Rfam family: Archaeal small subunit ribosomal RNA
Source: RNAcentral